Oreochromis niloticus (Nile tilapia) is the source of this 1170-nucleotide long non-coding RNA. RefSeq lists it as uncharacterized. NCBI's taxonomy places the organism in Eukaryota, Metazoa, Chordata, Actinopteri, Cichliformes, Cichlidae. The transcript has 2 exons. The record is from RefSeq and is a predicted model, not a curated record.
GCCGUUUCCGUAGUGUAGUGGUUAUCACGUUCGCCUAACACGCGAAAGGUCCCUGGUUCGAAACCAGGCGGAAACAUGCUUCUUUGCUUAUGCGUCCUGAUAUAAAAGUGUCUGACUGCAGGCACUGCUUGAACUUGUGGGGUUCUACUGCUGUUUGGGACACAGACGAGAGAAAGUACUCAAAUCUGGUACAGGCCUCUGACAUUUGUAACCUUUGGAUGCUGGGCUUGCUAAGAGUUCUCUAUGGCCCAAAUUUCAACAGAAUUCACACAAAUCAACACAUCUCCAGUCACCAUAUUUCCUGAAGAUGGAGGCACAGACUAAGCUCUUGGAAAUGAGUGGCUCUAGGUGGCCUGCACAGGGCUAAAAAGUUGUCUGUGUACCAAAUUUCAGAAAACUCCAAAAGCACCAGCACAAGAAUGUAUCAUGACCUUACCCUGAAAAUUGAAUUUACUAUUUAAUGUUUGGUCUUUCUCUAAGACAGUAAGAGCCAUGUUAACAUGGCUUAAUCUCACCAACAGAGUGGUCUUACCUCUCUAAAGGUUCAUGGAGAAGUAAAGUUUUCUUAAUGAAGUUAAGUAUUUCUUGUGGAGUUUUGAAGCCGUUAGAGAGAGUCAAGUUCUGUCAUUUCAUUCUUUCCCUUAGCUGUUUAUUUCUAAACAGACACUCACUGAACCCACAAGAGGAGGAAUUUAACGCCCUCAGACCUGAUCAGUCCUGCUUUUCCCAGAUCAGUGCUCACAGUUUAGUCUGUGGUGUAAAUCUUUAAGCCUCUUUUAUCAAUAUAAUCAUUCCUGUGCACUUUUCAGAGUCCAUGUCAUUACAAACUUUUUAUCAUUAAUGAAAUAAAAAUGACACAUCAUCUGGAUAUAUAAAUAAAAUAAAAUUUAAAAAAAAAAGAAAAACCCAAAGAAAACUAUUAAAAAUAUUUUAUUUAUCAUGCACAGACUGCUAGACAAUAGAGGGCACUAAAACACUGUGCUCCCUGAGCCACACCAAAGUUUGAAGUGUCAAUGUGGUAAACCAAAUCUGGUUUAGUGUGGGAAAAUUCCUGCCUAGUUGCAGCAAUCAAAUUGAAAUUCACAGGGAACAAAUUUUAAAAAGCAGACACAGAAAAAAAUGACACUGUUACAAAAUACGAACACAACAGCCUCAUAAUGACAGAUUUAA